CCAGCUGAUGGACAAGGCGACGUAGUGAACGGUGCGUACCCGAGGAUGUGGUGAUGUCGCUUCGCAACACCAUUGAGGGUGGCAAGCUGAUUAGUUUUCGACGCAUGACGUGUUGGCACUAGCCCGGCUAGCGAUACGUUGUGCGUAGAAAAUCAUGAAGCGAGCGUUUUAAUGAGGCGAUCAUGUUGGUUUCGUAGCUUUAUUGUUUCUCGCAUCGUUCGGUGCAUUUUUGGGAUUGCUUUGGCUUUUGGUUGCUUGCUUGGCCUUUUGUGCUACGUGGGUGGCUACUAGUCGGGUGGUUUCGGGAAAUGUUUACCGUAAAGGUGCAUGAGUGGUGUUUGGUUUGUUACGGGUGGUUGGAUGUCUUCUAGCGAAGCAACUUCCAUGCGUGCUUACCUCUUCAUUUACGUAGCAAGGCUUGUUUUAGACUUGCUCGUAUUGUGGGUUUUCUGUGUUGCGUACCUAAUCGAAGGCAUUGUAUGGACCGAYUGAAUYUGUUUCCGUCACGCAUCGCACUUGUGGUGCAUGACGGACCAGCAAGUGGUCUCUGUAAUCCAUCUUGUUGUUGUAAACACUACGACGAUAUGGCUUGCUGAGUUUCGCUUGGUGUCUUGGAUACGGAACCUGAUGUGGGCAUAGGGUCUUACAUGAUCCUUUUAUGCCCUCGUUUAGCGUUCUCGCUUCUCUAAAACGAUCACUCGUCGUGUGUUGGCAAGUCCAUGCAUGGCGGGUUGCAUCGAAGAGGAAUGCUACC
Molecule: unclassified non-coding RNA, 754 nt
Filed under: Gazania jurineifolia subsp. scabra
Lineage: Eukaryota; Viridiplantae; Streptophyta; Magnoliopsida; Asterales; Asteraceae
Description: partial external transcribed spacer
Source: RNAcentral